UAACAUAAGUAACCUGCCCUAGACAGGGGGAGUAACUAUUGGAAACGAUAGCUAAGACCGCAUAGGUACGGAUACUGCAUGGUGACCGUAUUAAAAGUGCCUCAAAGCACUGGUAGAGGAUGGACUUAUGGCGCAUUAGCUGGUUGGCGGGGUAACGGCCCACCAAGGCGACGAUGCGUAGCCGACCUGAGAGGGUGACCGGCCACACUGGGACUGAGACACGGCCCAG
RNAcentral lists this ribosomal RNA (229 nucleotides) under uncultured bacterium. Its description in RNAcentral is "partial 16S ribosomal RNA". It matches the Rfam family "Bacterial small subunit ribosomal RNA", at positions 113 to 334 of the family's 1533-position model. The record is from RNAcentral.